GUGAAGGGAAGGACAGCAGAGGGAGAGAGAGGAAGGGGUUGCUCUUGUUGCCGUUUCGGGUUGGGUGAGGACAAGGAUCGGCGGGGGAGUUCGAGUUGGUGUACAGAUCAGCGUCCACUGCUGAUUACAGUGCAAAGAAAGGUGUCGCAACAUCUACAACAACGGCAGGAGAGGAAAAAGGAAAAGCUACGGAAAAUCAACACACCGUUUUUUCAGGGUUGAUGAUGAAACCACCUUUCUGAAAAAAGAGACAUCUCUGGGUUCUGAUUCAACUGAGCUCCAAAGCACAAAGCUGAAAAUCUAUUUUAAAGCAAUAAAUCUGGCCACUAGAGGGCAGUAGCGCAUUUGGUAAGACCCACAACCCGAUUCAACAGCAACGAACAGCCGGGCAGCACGGCCGGGACGCCGGGGGAAGGAUGCCAGGCGGCGGACGUCCGAGCAGAACAACCGAGAGGACGCCCGGGAUGCCAGGCGCUGGACGACCGAGCAGAACGACCGGGACCACCAGUGCAGCGGACGAUAUCUUUGAGUCCGUGGUGCUCACCGAGCAGACCCCGCAGAGACAAAAAA
This is a long non-coding RNA of Corythoichthys intestinalis (scribbled pipefish), 570 nucleotides long. RefSeq lists it as uncharacterized. The transcript is spliced from 4 exons. The record is from RefSeq and is a predicted model, not a curated record. NCBI's taxonomy places the organism in Eukaryota, Metazoa, Chordata, Actinopteri, Syngnathiformes, Syngnathidae.